Molecule: non-coding RNA, 95 nt
Organism: Paramuricea clavata
Lineage: Eukaryota; Metazoa; Cnidaria; Anthozoa; Malacalcyonacea; Plexauridae
Source: the annotation of a GenBank genome assembly
UGAGAAUUCAAUAUAUAAUUCAAAACAAGACGCAGUUUGGGUCGAAGAUUUACAGUCUCAAACUGCGUCUUGUUUUGAAUUAUAUAUUGAAUUCU